RNAcentral lists this long non-coding RNA (693 nucleotides) under Gallus gallus (chicken). The record is from RNAcentral. Lineage: Eukaryota; Metazoa; Chordata; Aves; Galliformes; Phasianidae.
AGAACGUAUCUUGUCUUGUACGCUGCUCCUCUUCCUUCAGCUUCUUUAGCGAUGGCGAUAUUCUCUCUCUCUGUCUCGUUCUCUGUCACGAUCUCUGUCACGAUCACGAUGUCUCUCUCUUUCUCGGCUUCGUUCCCGAUAAUAGUCAUCGUGACGAUCUCUGCUACGUGAUUUAUGGCGUCUGCUUUUUUCUCGUGACCUACUGUGGUCCCUCUCCCUGGAUCGUUCACGUCUGGAUCCAGAACCAUAGGACUUGGACUCAAUUCCAUGAAGGCAGUCUUGAAGAGAGCUAAUAAGUACUUUACAACGAUCAUCAGCAGAUACUUUGGACUGUUUAAUUAAGGAAAUGGCAGUUACCAGGGUCUCUAUAGCACUUCCAUAGUCCCCAGCACUGGCAUCUGAUACAGCUCUUGAAAUGGCACUGCUUGAGAUUGCCCUAUUUCUGUUCAUGAUUUCUUCAAAUUCUGCUUCACUUAAAGGUGUCCUUGCAGCAUCCAUCUCUCUCCCUGAGUUUUGAGUAUUAUUUUUCGUGUGCCUCCCAUAGAAUGGAAUAUGUAAUUUUUCUCUUAUGGACAUGUUAUUUCCAGUGAAACGCCUAUGAUAUAUAAUUAAUGACAAUUUAAAUAGUUACGGAUGAUAGUCUUAACAUUAUUAAUGAAAAUAGUGGACAGAACUUAUUCUGUCCUAUCCCCA